RNAcentral lists this transfer-messenger RNA (307 nucleotides) under Roseicella aerolata. RNAcentral's name for it is "Alphaproteobacteria transfer-messenger RNA". It matches the Rfam family "Alphaproteobacteria transfer-messenger RNA". Rfam says of the family: Bacterial tmRNA, also known as 10Sa RNA or SsrA, is named for its dual tRNA and mRNA-like properties. Its role is to liberate the mRNA from a stalled ribosome. The record is from Rfam by way of RNAcentral. Lineage: Bacteria; Pseudomonadati; Pseudomonadota; Alphaproteobacteria; Acetobacterales; Roseomonadaceae.
CCCCUCGAAAUCGGCGCGGGGAUGCGCUAUAUGAGGCUCGUCACUUCGGUGACUAUGGUGAUAAACGCGGCUCGAGAUAAGCGUUGCGGACCCGGGGGCAGUGCCCGGCGCCUCCACCAUCACCCUUCGGGGUGGCAGGGGGGCGAAACAGGCUCGACGCGCGUGGUAAUGGGGCCGUUUUUGCCCGGCAUGGUUCCGCCGUUAUCGGGCCGAUUCUAAGUGCGAACGACAACGACGCACUCGCUGUUGCUGCGUAAGCAGUGAUAAGCGCGGUUCGGGGGGCACCGGGCAACAGAAGCCCCCCACU